GAACCAGGGCUUCGGCCCUGGGGACAGCGGCGAACGGGUGAGUAACACGUGGAUUACCUGCCCUCGGCACCGGGAUAGCCCGGGGAAACCCGGAUUAAUACCGGAUAGCCCGUCCGGCUCUCGAGCCGGCCGGAAAAGGUAGCUUCGGCCUCUGGCCGAGGAUGGGUCCGCGGCGGAUUAGCUUGUUGGUGGGGUAACGGCUCACCAAGGCGACGAUCCGUAGCUGGUCUGAGAGGACGAUCAGCCACACUGGGACUGAGACACGGCCCAGACUCCUACGGGAGGCAGCAGUGGGGAAUCUUGCGCAAUGGGCGAAAGCCUGACGCAGCGACGCCGCGUGAGGGAAGAAGGCCUUCGGGUUGUAAACCUCUUUCAGGAGGGACGAAGCCACUCGGGUGAACAGCCCAGAGGGUGACGGUACCUCCAGAAGAAGCCCCGGCUAACUACGUGCCAGCAGCCGCGGUAAUACGUAGGGGGCAAGCGUUGUCCGGAUUUACUGGGCGUAAAGAGCGUGCAGGCGGCCAGGCAGGUCCGUUGUGAAAACUGAAGGCUUAACCUUCAGACGUCGACGGAAACCGCGUGGCUAGAGUCCGGAAGAGGAGAGUGGAAUUCCUGGUGUA
This 620-nucleotide ribosomal RNA is filed under the name uncultured bacterium. RNAcentral describes it as "bacterial SSU rRNA". It matches the Rfam family "Bacterial small subunit ribosomal RNA", at positions 69 to 677 of the family's 1533-position model. The record is from RNAcentral.